Molecule: ribosomal RNA, 439 nt
Filed under: uncultured bacterium
Lineage: Bacteria
Description: bacterial SSU rRNA
Rfam family: Bacterial small subunit ribosomal RNA
Source: RNAcentral
GCAUAACGCGAAGAACCUUACCAAGGCUUGACGUACACCAGAACACCCUAGAAAUAGGGGACUCUUUGGACACUGGUGAACAGGUGGUGCAUGGUUGUCGUCAGCUCGUGUCGUGAGAUGUUGGGUUAAGUCCCGCAACGAGCGCAACCCUCGUUCUAUGUUGCCAGCACGUAAUGGUGGGAACUCAUGGGAUACUGCCGGGGUCAACUCGGAGGAAGGUGGGGAUGACGUCAAAUCAUCAUGCCCCUUAUGUCUUGGGCUUCACGCAUGCUACAAUGGCCGGUACAAAGGGCUGCAAUACCGUGAGGUGGAGCGAAUCCCAAAAAGCCGGUCCCAGUUCGGAUUGAGGUCUGCAACUCGACCUCAUGAAGUCGGAGUCGCUAGUAAUCGCAGAUCAGCAACGCUGCGGUGAAUACGUUCCCGGGUCUUGUACACACCG